Long non-coding RNA from Raphanus sativus (radish), 548 nucleotides. RefSeq lists it as uncharacterized. The record is from RefSeq and is a predicted model, not a curated record. NCBI's taxonomy places the organism in Eukaryota, Viridiplantae, Streptophyta, Magnoliopsida, Brassicales, Brassicaceae. The transcript is spliced from 2 exons.
CCCAGAAGAAAGUAGCGAUGGCUUCGAUGCAGAAAACUAAUUAAUUUCCACCUUAACGUGCGUUCAACAGAGGAUAUCCACGUACAGCUCAUGGUAGUCAAGCGCAUCAGUAGAUUCAGUGUCUCAGGCGGGUGGAGUCCUCAUGGUCUGCAGGUUAUGCCGUAUGAGUGGUGACCACUGGAAAGCACGAUGUAACUGACAUGGCCGCUUAUGUUCCGCCAAGCAUGAGACCAGGUGCAGACAGAAGAAGCACCGCUAGUUCAAACAUGAGGAGUAGGAGGAACGACGAGAACUCUGUACGUUGUGACUAACUUGUCUGAAGACACCCGUGAACAGGAUUUGAUAGAGUUGUUCCAUCCGUUCGGUGCUUUAACCCGUGCCUAUGUUAUGUUGCCAGUGACCAGAAGAAACAUUAGCGGAGGAUUUGGGUUUGUCAAUUUUGUACGUGAGAGGAGAAAAACAGAGACGAGUUCAAUGUUUUCUCUUGUUUGCUUGUCUAUCUUAAGAAUUAAAGAUGAUUAAUGCAUAUGUGAGAUAUGCUUGCUACA